UUAUCUGUGCAGGAGAAUCAAGAAGCAGUCAGUACUGAAGUGAGUACAAUCCUUCAUCUCUUUGAGUGACUAAACUUUGGAAACAAACCAUCCCAGCGGUCUCUAAGGAAGAAAACUGACUACUUGAAGUAUGGAGAGAAACAAGAAAACCCUUUCCUUGUUUAUUCUGCUGCUACUGCUACUGGUCUGCAAAAGUGAGGAGUGUCCCCGCCUUCCAAAGAAUCUCACUUGCUACACUGACUACAAUAGAAACAUCACAUGUUUGUGGAAAAGCAAAUACGUGUCUGAUGACACUGCAUGCACGAUAGAUGCUCACUAUAAAUCUCGACGCCUUUCUUACAGCGCUUCCUGUCACCUAAAGCCUGUUGAUGUCUC
Molecule: long non-coding RNA, 375 nt
Organism: Oreochromis aureus
Lineage: Eukaryota; Metazoa; Chordata; Actinopteri; Cichliformes; Cichlidae
Exons: 3
Source: RefSeq, a predicted model, not a curated record